GCGGACGGGUGAGUAAUGUCUGGGAAACUGCCUGAUGGAGGGGGAUAACUACUGGAAACGGUGGCUAAUACCGCAUAACGUCGCAAGACCAAAGAGGGGGACCUUCGGGCCUCUUGCCAUCAGAUGUGCCCAGAUGGGAUUAGCUUGUUGGUGAGGUAACGGCUCACCAAGGCGGCGAUCCCUAGCUGGUCUGAGAGGAUGACCAGCCACACUGGAACUGAGACACGGUCCAGACUCCUACGGGAGGCAGCAGUGGGGAAUAUUGCACAAUGGGCGCAAGCCUGAUGCAGCCAUGCCGCGUGUAUGAAGAAGGCCUUCGGGUUGUAAAGUACUUUCAGCGGGGAGGAAGGUGUUGUGGUUAAUAACCGCAGCAAUUGACGUUACCCGCAGAAGAAGCACCGGCUAACUCCGUGCCAGCAGCCGCGGUAAUACGGAGGGUGCAAGCGUUAAUCGGAAUUACUGGGCGUAAAGCGCACGCAGGCGGUCUGUCAAGUCGGAUGUGAAAUCCCCGGGCUCAACCUGGGAACUGCAUUCGAAACUGGCAGGCUUGAGUCUUGUAGAGGGGGGUAGAAUUCCAGGUGUAGCGGUGAAAUGCGUAGAGAUCUGGAGGAAUACCGGUGGCGAAGGCGGCCCCCUGGACAAAGACUGACGCUCAGGUGCGAAAGCGUGGGGAGCAAACAGGAUUAGAUACCCUGGUAGUCCACGCCGUAAACGAUGUCUACUUGGAGGUUGUGCCCUUGAGGCGUGGCUUCCGGAGCUAACGCGUUAAGUAGACCGCCUGGGGAGUACGGCCGCAAGGUUAAAACUCAAAUGAAUUGACGGGGGCCCGCACAAGCGGUGGAGCAUGUGGUUUAAUUCGAUGCAACGCGAAGAACCUUACCUGGUCUUGACAUCCACAGAACUUUCCAGAGAUGGAUUGGUGCCUUCGGGAACUGUGAGACAGGUGCUGCAUGGCUGUCGUCAGCUCGUGUUGUGAAAUGUUGGGUUAAGUCCCGCAACGAGCGCAACCCUUAUCCUUUGUUGCCAGCGGUCCGGCCGGGAACUCAAAGGAGACUGCCAGUGAUAAACUGGAGGAAGGUGGGGAUG
This 1086-nucleotide ribosomal RNA is filed under the name Salmonella enterica subsp. enterica serovar Enteritidis. Its description in RNAcentral is "bacterial SSU rRNA". It matches the Rfam family "Bacterial small subunit ribosomal RNA", at positions 98 to 1181 of the family's 1533-position model. Lineage: Bacteria; Pseudomonadati; Pseudomonadota; Gammaproteobacteria; Enterobacterales; Enterobacteriaceae. The record is from RNAcentral.